Molecule: ribosomal RNA, 206 nt
Filed under: uncultured bacterium
Lineage: Bacteria
Description: partial 16S ribosomal RNA
Rfam family: Bacterial small subunit ribosomal RNA
Source: RNAcentral
CGCGUAGACGGUUUUUAAGUCUGGAGUGAAAGUCCUGCUUUCAAGGUGGGAAUUGCUUUGGAGACUGGAAGGCUUGGGUGCGGAAGAGGUAAGUGGAAUUCCCAGUGUAGCGGUGAAAUGCGUAGAGAUUGGGAAGAACACCAGUGGCGAAGGCGACUUACUGGGCCGUAACUGACGUUGAUGCGCGAAAGCGUGGGGAGCGAACA